This 440-nucleotide ribosomal RNA is filed under the name Clostridioides sp. ZZV15-6388. RNAcentral describes it as "bacterial SSU rRNA". It matches the Rfam family "Bacterial small subunit ribosomal RNA", at positions 338 to 795 of the family's 1533-position model. The record is from RNAcentral. Lineage: Bacteria; Bacillati; Bacillota; Clostridia; Peptostreptococcales; Peptostreptococcaceae. RNAcentral also lists the same sequence under 1 other name.
CCUACGGGUGGCAGCAGUGGGGAAUAUUGCACAAUGGGGGAAACCCUGAUGCAGCGACGCCGCGUGAAGGAAGAAGUAUCUCGGUAUGUAAACUUCUAUCAGCAGGGAAGAUAGUGACGGUACCUGACUAAGAAGCCCCGGCUAACUACGUGCCAGCAGCCGCGGUAAUACGUAGGGGGCAAGCGUUAUCCGGAUUUACUGGGUGUAAAGGGAGCGUAGACGGUGUGGCAAGUCUGAUGUGAAAGGCAUGGGCUCAACCUGUGGACUGCAUUGGAAACUGUCAUACUUGAGUGCCGGAGGGGUAAGCGGAAUUCCUAGUGUAGCGGUGAAAUGCGUAGAUAUUAGGAGGAACACCAGUGGCGAAGGCGGCUUACUGGACGGUAACUGACGUUGAGGCUCGAAAGCGUGGGGAGCAAACAGGAUUAGAUACCCCAGUAGUC